This 2308-nucleotide long non-coding RNA is filed under the name Homo sapiens (human). RNAcentral's name for it is "HSALNT0156826". Lineage: Eukaryota; Metazoa; Chordata; Mammalia; Primates; Hominidae. The record is from RNAcentral.
AGAGCUUGGCAACUGCGCCCCAACUCCACUGCCAGCCAACGGGGCCAGGUCAGGCCCGGGCACUCCGGGGAGGCAGGGGUCCCUCCCCGGUGCACCUGGUGCAGUGCUGUCCUGGGACCCCGGUGGGGGCUCUGGGCAGGGCUCAGUGUUUAGCAUUGUGGUCGCACCUGGCCUCAGAGGCCCCGGCCACCGAGGAGCCUCCUGGGGACUCUAGGCUGGGCUCUUCUGCAUGGAACGCCCCGCCUCUCUUUGGGCCUCAGUUUCCAUCUUGUUCACCAGUUGGGGGCUGGCUCUUCCCAGCCUUCAGGUGGCCUCUCUCUCUGACUCCAGCCCCCACCCUCCUUUGUUGGGACCCUCCAGACCCAUCCGCUAGUCACAGGAGCGUGUCCCUGAAAGGAACUGGCUGCCUUCACUGUGAGAGCCGGGCUGCACAGAUCCCCUGAUGGGGUGCCCCUUCCUGAGGUGGCUCUUGGAGGCUCUGGCCAGUGAGGUCAAGCCUGUGUAUCCUACCAGGGCCCUGGAGGGGUGGACGAGGCCAACACAGUCCCUGGGGGAAUCCUGGGAUCUCUGACACCUGGCGGGGGUCCCUGAGCAGAGGGGCCUGAGGGGCACCCAAGGGGUGGGUGGGAAGCCCCUAAGCCACACCCAUGGUCAGGCCCUGGUGUGGAAGCACCUGCAGCUCCAGCUGGGCCAAGGUACUGGGGCCUCUCCUUGUGGGUGCAGGGGCCGGGGCAGGACCGAUGGUGAGUGGGGUCAUGGAGGGGAUGCAGCUGGGUGGCCUGUGCAUGGCUGCAGAGCCCCUGGUGAGGGGACAGCAAGGGGCUAGGUCCACUCAGGGUUCCUCCUGGUCAGGGGCUGGGAGGCCCCACCCUGCCCUACCCCACCUGGGCUCAAGGUCACGAGUGGAGCAGAGGGUCACAGCCCAGCAAGCAGCAGCAGCGCAGCCUGGGCGCCACCCGGGUCCUCAGGGCUAGCCAGGAGCCCCCCGCGUUGCUGUGGCACACAGAGGUGGCGGGAGGGGUGGGGCAGUUGCAGUGACUGCCAAGUGUAUGGGUGGACGGACGGGGGACAGACAGACUGGUGGUCAGACUCGGGGUUGGUGGGGGGACAGGUGACAGGCCGGGCCUGUGCCUGGCAGGUGUCAGCUGUGCCAGGGCCACCCCAGCCACGGGAGAGCUGGUUGGUGUUCAGGGGCACCGAUGGGCCGAGUCCGGGUUCGGAGGUCAGCCUGGAGCUCCCCCGAGCAGGACGGCUGGGUCCAAACCACUAGAAAUAGUCUGAAAUUGUUCUUCCGUGGGCACCAACCUGCAGAGGGGUGUGGGUGCUGGGCUGGGAUUCGCAGCCCCCCGAGGCUGCCCAAGCCCAUCCUUCCCACCAGCAGGGCACAGCCUACCUUCCCCUCAUUCAGCCCCAGCACUGCCCAACCAUCUGGGCUAGGUCCAUCCGUCCACUGAUGGGAGAGGUGUGGAGGGAAGGGCACCCAGGGAGCACCUGGUCAGGCCUUCCCGGGGGUCCCGGUGAUCCCCCAGCCUCCCUGGGCCUGGAGGGAGGAGCAGGACUGGGACCCAGACACCUGCCCUGUCCACAGCUGGCCCUGCCCUGUCCACAGCUGGGUCUGCCCUGUCCACAGCUGGCUCUGCCCAUCACAUCUGGGCCGCCAAGGAAGGAGUGGGAGGCUGGCAGCAUGUGUGGGACAGACCAGUCAGCCGGCCUCAGGGGCUGAUGGCUUUCUAGAAAGCACAGCCUCUGAGGGCUUCCAGGCUUCACGUCACCCCAACAAACUGCCCUGGGUCUGGGCCAGCAGGGCAAGGGGACACAGUUCCAAGUGUCCAGCUGCCUGGCCCAGCACUCUGGAGGCCUUGGCCAGGGCCCCAGGGAGCCCCCACCUGCUGCGGGCCCUGCUCCCCUGGCCCCUGCAACCACCGCGGGGCAGGACGCCUGGGACAGCCAAGAUCCUGGCCCCAGACAAACGGGGUUCCCAGGGUCUGUGAGGACGUGGCAGGGCCUCUUGGCUUUCUGCUGACCUGAACCCCACUGGCCUUACCGAGGUCAGAACCUUGGGUACCUCCGAGUAAGGACCGUCUGCACCCUGGUGGCAGCCUGUAUGGGGACUGCAGCGAGGGUGGGUGGGGGAUACAUCCCUGGGGCGUCAGUGGCCGGGUGGGCCCCCUUCCCCCUCUGCUGGGGUCCUCAGGGAAGGGCUUUCAGCUCUCAGUUGGGGUCCUCAUCUGCAAAGUGCAGCUGAUACCAAUACUGCGCCGUUGCUGUUGGUGACACCAAUACUGCGCCGUUGCUGUUGGUGACACCA